Non-coding RNA from Meriones unguiculatus (Mongolian gerbil), 400 nucleotides. The record is from the annotation of a RefSeq genome assembly. NCBI's taxonomy places the organism in Eukaryota, Metazoa, Chordata, Mammalia, Rodentia, Muridae.
GACAGCCUUGGCCACCAAUAUGGAGUCAGAGACCCAGGUCUUCCUAUUCCUGCUCCUUUGGAUGUCUGGUGCUGAGGGGAACAUUGUGAUGACCCAGUCUCCUGAAUUCAUAUCCACAUCUGUAGGAGACAGGAUCACCUUAAGCUGCAAGUCCAGUCAGAAUGUGGGUACUGCUGUAGCUUGGUACCAGCAGAAACCAGGGCAAUCCCCUAAACCUCUGAUCUACUGGGCAUCCAAUCGAUACACAGGGGUCCCUGAUCGCUUCACAGGCAGUGGAUCUGGAACAGAUUUCACUCUCAGCAUCAGCAGUGUGCAGGCUGAAGACCUGGCAGUUUAUUACUGUCAGCAGGGUAGCAGCUAUCCUCCCACAGUGCUUCAUCUUCCAACACAAACCUCCUAG